UGAUUCCUGUUCUGGGUAUUAUAGCUUAGGAUCAAAUGCAGGGCCUCAUGGAUGCUAGACACGUCUUCUACUAUACUACUGGAUGCCCAGCUCCAGUUAUUACUUCCAAAUCCAAGCAGCAGAAGAUUUACCCAACAUUGCAGAUGAAAAAAAUGUAGGCUGUUUUCUGUUUUUGUUUUUGAUGCAGGGAAUCAUUGAAUGCCACAGAACGGCCAUGAACUUAUCAUCCUCCUUUGCUUCCCUACUAGCUGGCUUUCCAGAUGCCAUGAGAUGAGUCAUUCUCUAGGCUAUGCACACUCACCAUACUGUUGCCACAGGCUAAAAGCAACAGGAAAAACUCACCAUAGCCAGAUCCCUCCCAAAAGAUAUUGUUUUCCACGAAGAAGUUGGGGCCACCAGAUGAAAUCCCCAGUCCAUUUAAGUGAGCAAUGCUACAGAACAAACCACAGGGAAUUCUUUAAAAGUUAUAAGUGAGCGGCUUGAUCGUAAGGAGCCAGAUAUGGAUGUCUCCUGAGAGGUUCUGCCAGAGCCCUACUGAUAGAGAUGAGGAUGCUUGCAGCUAACCAUUGGACUGAACAAGGGGACCCCAAUAGAAGACUUAGAGAAAAGACUGAAGGAGCUGAAGGGGUUUGCAACACCAGAGGAAGAACAACAAUAUCAACCAAGCAAACCCCACCAGAGCUCCCAGGGACUAAACCACCAACCAAGGAGUACACAUGGAGGGACCCAUGAUACCAGUCACAUAUGCAGCAGAGGAUGGUACUGUCCAGCAUCAAUGGGAGGAAAAGCCCUUGGUCAUGUGAAGGCUUGAUGCCCUAGUGUAGGGGAAUGCCAGGCACUGAGGUGGGAGUAGGAGCAUCCUCAUAGAA
Non-coding RNA from Rattus norvegicus (Norway rat), 869 nucleotides. Lineage: Eukaryota; Metazoa; Chordata; Mammalia; Rodentia; Muridae. The record is from RefSeq and is a predicted model, not a curated record.